RNAcentral lists this ribosomal RNA (253 nucleotides) under uncultured bacterium. RNAcentral describes it as "partial 16S ribosomal RNA". It matches the Rfam family "Bacterial small subunit ribosomal RNA", at positions 524 to 776 of the family's 1533-position model. The record is from RNAcentral.
UACGGAGGGAGCUAGCGUUGUUCGGAAUUACUGGGCGUAAAGCGCGCGUAGGCGGCUUUGUAAGUUAGAGGUGAAAGCCCGGAGCUCAACUCCGGAACUGCCUUUAAGACUGCAUCGCUUGAAUCCAGGAGAGGUGAGUGGAAUUCCGAGUGUAGAGGUGAAAUUCGUAGAUAUUCGGAAGAACACCAGUGGCGAAGGCGGCUCACUGGACUGGUAUUGACGCUGAGGUGCGACAGCGUGGGGAGCAAACAGG